ACUCCUACGGGAGGCAGCAGUGGGGAAUAUUGCACAAUGGGCGCAAGCCUGAUGCAGCAACGCCGCGUGAGCGAUGAAGGCCUUCGGGUCGUAAAGCUCUGUCCUCAAGGAAGAUAAUGACGGUAC
This 126-nucleotide ribosomal RNA is filed under the name uncultured Clostridium sp. Its description in RNAcentral is "partial 16S ribosomal RNA". It matches the Rfam family "Bacterial small subunit ribosomal RNA", at positions 335 to 478 of the family's 1533-position model. The record is from RNAcentral. Lineage: Bacteria; Bacillati; Bacillota; Clostridia; Eubacteriales; Clostridiaceae.